Long non-coding RNA from Chrysemys picta bellii (western painted turtle), 918 nucleotides. RefSeq lists it as uncharacterized. Lineage: Eukaryota; Metazoa; Chordata; Testudines; Emydidae. The record is from RefSeq and is a predicted model, not a curated record.
AGCAGCCAUGCCAUGAGGUGGAGUGCCGCUAGGUUGGGGCAGAGGAGGCAGCCCUGGUCCUGGGAGAGCAGGUCCAGGUGGGAUGGCAACAGCCAUGGCGGGGCGACCGCCAGGCUUGUGAGGGUCCUGUACCAAUGUUGCCUGGGCCAUGCCAGGGCAAUCAGGAAGACCUGUCCGUUUUUAUCUUCUCCAAGACCUUGCCGAUCAACGGGAUUAGGGGGAAGGCAUAGAGAAGCUGGCCCGACCAGGACAGGAGGAAGGCAUCGGAGAUGGUGCCCACGCCCAACCCUGCCCCCCCCCCGGAGCAGAAACGGGGACACCAGCAGUUCAGCUGAGUCGCGAACAGGUCCACCUGGGGAGUUCCCCACUCUUGGAAAAUCCUGUGCACCACCUCUGGGUGUAGUGACUCGUGCUAAGAGGAGAAGUCUCAGCUCAGGCGUCCGCCCAUGAGUUCCGGGCGCCCGGCCCAGGGUGGCACAUGUGGACAGGAGGAGCGCCAUGUGAUCCCGCACCUGUGACCUGGAGCUGCCCUUGACCAGCCAGUCGUCAAGAUAGGGGAAGAGCUGAACCCCACGACAUCUGAGGGCCUUGCUGUCGAACGAAAGGUCCUGCAGGGAGUUCUGCGCCUCGCUGGACAGCCCAGACAGCAGGAGCCACGACGCCCUCCUCAUGGACACCGCGGAGGCCAUGGACCACGCGGCUGUAUCCGCAGCAUCUGAUGCUGCCUGCAGGGUCACCCUGGCAGCUGCUGUCCCCUCCUCCACCAGAGCCUUGAACUCCUUCCUGUCACGCUCCGGGAGGGAGUCCUCAGAUUUGGGCAGAGAGCCCCACAAAUUGAACUCAUACCACCUUAGGAGGGCUUGAUGGUUUGCCACCCUUAACUGGAAACUCAAGGACGAAUAAACCUUUCUCCUGAAU